This 459-nucleotide ribosomal RNA is filed under the name uncultured bacterium. RNAcentral's name for it is "partial 16S ribosomal RNA". It matches the Rfam family "Bacterial small subunit ribosomal RNA", at positions 338 to 795 of the family's 1533-position model. The record is from RNAcentral.
UCUACGGGAGGCAGCAGUGAGGAAUAUUGGUCAAUGGGCGCGAGCCUGAACCAGCCAAGUCGCGUGAGGGAAGACGGUCCUAUGGAUUGUAAACCUCUUUUGUCGGGGAGCAAAAGACGCCACGCGUGGCGUUCCGAGAGUACCCGAAGAAAAAGCAUCGGCUAACUCCGUGCCAGCAGCCGCGGUAAUACGGGGGAUGCGAGCGGUAUCCGGAUUUAAUGGGGUGAAAGGGUGCGCAGGCGGAAGAUCAAGUCGGCGGUAAAAUUGAGAGGCUCAACCUCUUCGAGCCGUUGAAACUGGUUUGCUUGAGUGAGUGAGAAGUAUGCGGAAUGCGUGGUGUAGCGGUGGAAUGCAGAGAUAACACGCAGAACUCCGAUUGCGAAGGCAGCAUACCGGCGCUCAACUGACGCUCAUGGACGAAAGUGUGGGUAUCGAACAGGAUUAGAUACCCGGGUAGUC